Sinocyclocheilus rhinocerous is the source of this 357-nucleotide non-coding RNA. Lineage: Eukaryota; Metazoa; Chordata; Actinopteri; Cypriniformes; Cyprinidae. The record is from the annotation of a RefSeq genome assembly.
AUGGAAAGAUGUAUUCUACUUCUUAUUCUUAUAACAAUUCCAGGUAUAUUUGCUGAUAGCAUUGAACCAAAAGACAGAGAUAAUAUAAUCAAGAAAGAAGGAGAGUCUGUGACACUGAGCUGCACUUAUGAUACAAGCAGCACUUAUGCUAUGCUUUACUGGUACAGACAGUAUCCAAACAGAGAACUCCAGUAUUUACUGCGUAAAGGUGCUCGAUCAUGGAGCUACAGUGAGGAUAUACCAGAUCGUCGCUUUCAGUCGAUUACAUCACAAACAUCCACUGAACUCACUAUUACUGGUGUAACUCUGUCAGAUUCAGCUCUCUAUUAUUGUGCUCUAAGAGUAGCAGCCCAGUGA